CAUCACCCCAGCGCCACUUUCUCACUUUGGCAGUGGCAGUUGAUUUCCAGAGAGCAACUGGCUCUGGCCUUCAUUCUUUCUCUCACACUUACGGACCCAGCCCCGGCAAGUUAGCACACCUUCUUCAGAGGUCUGGUUCCAUUUUUGUAGGGGCUUCCUUCUUGCUUCUGCCUUUAGUCCUCCAGCCAGGGCACAAUAGUGCUUCCUGCAGUUUUCUUGGAGAAACUUCAUUAUUCCCUUUUUGUCUUCUCAGUUCUCUAAUUUCUGGUGAACAGCCAUUUAUUUAUACUAAGUUAUCUCUGUUAACAUUACUGAUGUGGUUUCUGUUUCCUGACUGGAUCUUCUCUGAUACCACAUCUAAAACUUCACUUUCCCUAAAUAAGACAGUUGAGAAGGAAACAUUCAUUUUAUGAGCAAAUGUGUUGAACUUGAUCUGAAGAAGGGCUGUCAGGAGCUUUGUCUUUAUCAUGCUGCCUGGGCAGGCUCAUUCAGCAGUACCUGUUGGAGCAAACUACCGGCCCUUGAAGCUAUGCCAGGGGCAUGGCUUGGUGUGGCUGCUUUGUGGGCUACGGGCUGCCACCAAGGGCGCAAGCAGGGUUAAGGUCUCAAGUGAGUGGCCACAUUUGAGAAACAGAAUAAUUCUUUAAGAGAGGAUGAGAGGAGAAGAGGAAAGGGGGAAAGCCCAUUGCAGAAAGAUGGAGAGCUACAGUGAUUAUUGCAACCAAAAAAAAAAAAAAAAACAAUUAUGUGCAGGCAAGAUGGGCAGAAUGCAGGGUGAGAAGCUGGAUGGAGUCAGGAGAGGGAAGGAAUCACGAAGACUAUUAGUCUUGGUACUAAAGGACAGUUUCAGCCUCUCAUUUAUUUGCUGAUAAUAAAAAUGGCCUGCACAAUAGGUUGGUCAACACCACUUUCUUGCUUCAUUGGUUUCCAAAAGGACUAGCCACUUCCCUGCUGAGGGAUUAUUUCCAGGAGCCUGUCUCAGGUCACUCACCAUGACCUCCGCAUUCAGCAUUCAGUUCCCCUCUCU
This 1027-nucleotide long non-coding RNA is filed under the name Marmota monax (woodchuck). The record is from RNAcentral. Lineage: Eukaryota; Metazoa; Chordata; Mammalia; Rodentia; Sciuridae.